UUAUCGGGGUCCGUUAUUGCUGCCGCGUCCUGAGUUUCAGGUUCUCUUUACUCUCCCAUUCUGGUGGCUAAAAUUGAAGCUUCAUACCACCAACAACUCGUCCUUUACAUUCUCCCACCAAUAUCGUCCGCACCUUACUCUAUUAAUUAUCGUCACAGGUAUGGUUUGACUGUAAUAGUUACACAUCCGACCGGAUCUGCAUAUUUAUGUAACUGCACUUGUUCGGCCCGUUUCCGAUCACUCUGUUUUCCUUAUUCUAGAUAUGCAAUCGCCAGUCAGUCAAUCCAUUCCUUCUGCCUCACUGGCUGAUUUGCCGCGACGCCUUUUUGACCUCAAUUGUUAUCCUUCUCAUCCAGUUCGUAUCAAUUCAUACUCAAGGCCACGAUACCUCCUUGAUGUUUUAAAUGUCUUGGAUGGGAUGCCUGAGCUCCAAGAGUUAUUGGCAUCUCCGCUUGGAUAUCUUUUCUUGAUUCAUGUACGUCGAAUUGCAAACCCUUAACCUAAUUCGCUGUUCACUUU
Molecule: non-coding RNA, 519 nt
Organism: Camelina sativa (false flax)
Lineage: Eukaryota; Viridiplantae; Streptophyta; Magnoliopsida; Brassicales; Brassicaceae
Source: RefSeq, a predicted model, not a curated record